Molecule: ribosomal RNA, 397 nt
Filed under: uncultured bacterium
Lineage: Bacteria
Description: partial 16S ribosomal RNA
Rfam family: Bacterial small subunit ribosomal RNA
Source: RNAcentral
AUACGAAGGGUGCAAGCGUUACUCGGAAUUACUGGGCGUAAAGCGUGCGUAGGUGGUUGUUUAAGUCUGUCGUGAAAGCCCUGGGCUCAACCUGGGAAUGGCGAUGGAAACUGGGCGACUAGAGUGUGGCAGAGGGUAGUGGAAUUCCUGGUGUAGCAGUGAAAUGCGUAGAGAUCAGGAGGAACAUCCGUGGCGAAGGCGACUGCCUGGGCCAACACUGACACUGAGGCACGAAAGCGUGGGGAGCAAACAGGAUUAGAUACCCUGGUAGUCCACGCCCUAAACGAUGCGAACUGGAUGUUGGGUGCAAUUUGGCACGCAGUACCGAAGCUAACGCGUUAAGUUCGCCGCCUGGGGAGUACGGUCGCAAGACUGAAACUCAAAUGAAUUGACGGGG